Molecule: non-coding RNA, 215 nt
Organism: Tinamus guttatus (white-throated tinamou)
Lineage: Eukaryota; Metazoa; Chordata; Aves; Tinamiformes; Tinamidae
Source: RefSeq, a predicted model, not a curated record
UGGAGGGGACAAACAGCACCGGGAAGUGCUUGGUGGCCUCCAAGCUCUACGAGGGGGUGCCGCUUCCCUUCCACACCCCUCCGGAGCCGGCACAAGACGCGGAGCCGCGGAUGGUGCUGGUGGCCUGCGGUCCCUACACCACGUCCGACAGCAUCGCCUACGAUCCCCUUUCCGACCUCGUGGACGUCAUCGUCCGGGAUAAACCCCACGUCUGC